Molecule: ribosomal RNA, 501 nt
Filed under: uncultured bacterium
Lineage: Bacteria
Description: partial 16S ribosomal RNA
Rfam family: Bacterial small subunit ribosomal RNA
Source: RNAcentral
AUUGAACGCUGGCGGCAGGCUUAACACAUGCAAGUCGAGCGGGGGAAGGUAGCUUGCUACCGGACCUAGCGGCGGACGGGUGAGUAAUGCUUAGGAAUCUGCCUAUUAGUGGGGGACAACAUCUCGAAAGGGAUGCUAAUACCGCAUACGUCCUACGGGAGAAAGCAGGGGAUCUUCGGACCUUGCGCUAAUAGAUGAGCCUAAGUCGGAUUAGCUAGUUGGUGGGGUAAAGGCCUACCAAGGGGACGAUCUGUGGCGGGUCUGAGGGGAUGAUCCGCCACACUGGGACUGAGACACGGCCCAGACUCCUACGGGAGGCAGCAGUGGGGAAUAUUGGACAAUGGGGGGAACCCUGAUCCAGCCAUGCCGCGUGUGUGAAGAAGGCCUUAUGGUUGUAAAGCACUUUAAGCGAGGAGGAGGCUACUCUAGUUAAUACCUAGGGAUAGUGGACGUUACUCGCAGAAUAAGCACCGGCUAACUCUGUGCCAGCAGCCGCCGUAA